GCAGGCAGAGAGAGCACUGGUCUGGUGCUUAGGUUUCCGCUCCUGUUUUACUUGGACUAUGGCAACAUUGAAGCGUGAGGAGACAAGGACUCCUUUCCUUUUGGAGCACAAAAGACCACACAUGACUGAAAUUGCAGUUUGACAUGCACAGGAGAUCUGUCGGCCACAUUUUCAUGGAUAGGUGUAGAGAGAAAAGAAACCUGAAACCUCAUGACCUAUCUUCUCAACACGUUUGGCUUCCACCAACAUAACCACACACACACACACAACUUACACACCCAUACACAUAGACCUGUUUAUUGGGAUUCAGCCAUCUGGAUUUGUGCAAUAAACCUGUUGGAAGAACAUUUUGGUGUGCACAUUCUGACCGAUGUCCCUCAGCGGCCACAGCUUUAAGUUGACCUCAAGAUCUAGUUAAUGUCCAUCAGAACAGUCACCAAAAUGGAGUUCGUGGCACCAGAGCCUGUCUACGGAGGUGGCACUAA
Molecule: long non-coding RNA, 485 nt
Organism: Alosa sapidissima (American shad)
Lineage: Eukaryota; Metazoa; Chordata; Actinopteri; Clupeiformes; Clupeidae
Exons: 5
Source: RefSeq, a predicted model, not a curated record